GUAGCCGUAUCGGAAGGUGCGGCUGGAUCACCUCCUUUCUAAGGAAUAUAUACAAAGACGUGAGGAUUCAACUUUAUUCAGUUUUGAGGGGUUUAGUGAUAAACCUAAGCAAGAAUCAAAUUCUUGAUUGUGGGGCCUUAGCUCAGCUGGGAGAGCGCCUGCUUUGCACGCAGGAGGUCAGCGGUUCGAUCCCGCUAGGCUCCAUUGUCAGACAAGACGUUAAAAUCACUUGAACAUUGAAAACUAAAUAACAAUAUCUAAUAACGAUAAAUAAACCAAAAGCUGUGAAUUUUAAAGAAUUUACAAACUUAUACUUGAAAAACGAUGAUUAUAAAUCAUCAUGGCAAAGUUAAUAAGGGCGCAC
Molecule: transfer RNA, 364 nt
Filed under: Lactococcus lactis subsp. lactis
Lineage: Bacteria; Bacillati; Bacillota; Bacilli; Lactobacillales; Streptococcaceae
Description: partial 16S-23S ribosomal RNA intergenic spacer
Rfam family: tRNA (bases 132-204)
Source: RNAcentral